CAGGAAUUAAAGCCCAUGUCCUGUAAAUAACUGAGCCUCUCCUGGGAGGAGCUGAAAGUCAGCACUGAAGGCAUCAAAGUCAUUGGAAGCUGGGGUGCUCAGCACCCUUCAAGAGAGUUCCAUGCCCAUCUCUGAGUUAAUCAUCCUGCUAUCAUCUCCUAUUUUUCUCAGUGGAAAUGAGGCUACAAAAGGUACCACCUACAAGAUGGCCACCCGUUCCGGCUGUUCCCAGUGAGGGUGAAGCCAAGCUGCCACAAUGGAAGACUGCCUUCACAGAUGGAAUAAUGCCACAGGAAAUCUAACUGGGUGAAGACUGCUGCAAAAUAAAUCCAUCAUAUCAAGCCAGUGAGAUGAACUCCUAGGGAAAACAUCUCAUGUGAAAGAAAGCCG
This is a long non-coding RNA of Chelonia mydas (Green sea turtle), 390 nucleotides long. RefSeq lists it as uncharacterized. The record is from RefSeq and is a predicted model, not a curated record. NCBI's taxonomy places the organism in Eukaryota, Metazoa, Chordata, Testudines, Cheloniidae. The transcript has 3 exons.